AAUGAACGCUAGCGGCAGGCUUAACACAUGCAAGUCGAGGGGUAUAGUUCUUCGGAGCUAGAGACCGGCGCACGGGUGCGUAACGCGUAUGCAAUCUACCUUUUGCAGAGGGAUAGCCCAGAGAAAUUUGGAUUAAUACCUCAUAGUAUGUGAGAAUGGCAUCAUUUUCACAUUAAAGUCACAACGGCAAAAGAUGAGCAUGCGUCCCAUUAGCUAGUUGGUAUGGUAACGGCAUACCAAGGCUACGAUGGGUAGGGGUCCUGAGAGGGAGAUCCCCCACACUGGUACUGAGACACGGACCAGACUCCUACGGGAGGCAGCAGUGAGGAAUAUUGGACAAUGGGCGCAAGCCUGAUCCAGCCAUGCCGCGUGCAGGAUGACGGUCCUAUGGAUUGUAAACUGCUUUUGUACAGGAAGAAACACUACUUCGUGAAGUAGCUUGACGGUACUGUAAGAAUAAGGAUCGGCUAACUCCGUGCCAGCAGCCGCGGUAAUACGGAGGAUCCAAGCGUUAUCCGGAAUCAUUGGGUUUAAAGGGUCCGUAGGCGGUCUUAUAAGUCAGUGGUGAAAUCUCCCCGCUCAACGGGGAAACGGCCAUUGAUACUGUAGGACUUGAAUUAUUAGGAAGUAACUAGAAUAUGUAGUGUAGCGGUGAAAU
This 658-nucleotide ribosomal RNA is filed under the name uncultured bacterium. RNAcentral describes it as "bacterial SSU rRNA". It matches the Rfam family "Bacterial small subunit ribosomal RNA", at positions 28 to 687 of the family's 1533-position model. The record is from RNAcentral.